AUUGAACGCUGGCGGCAGGCCUAACACAUGCAAGUCGAGCGGAUGAAGGGAGCUUGCUCCUGGAUUCAGCGGCGGACGGGUGAGUAAUGCCUAGGAAUCUGCCUGGUAGUGGGGGAUAACGUCCGGAAACGGGCGCUAAUACCGCAUACGUCCUGAGGGAGAAAGUGGGGGAUCUUCGGACCUCACGCUAUCAGAUGAGCCGAGGUCGGAUUAGCUAGUUGGUGGGGUAAAGGCCUACCAAGGCGACGAUCCGUAACUGGUCUGAGAGGAUGAUCAGUCACACUGGAACUGAGACACGGUCCAGACUCCUACGGGAGGCAGCAGUGGGGAAUAUUGGACAAUGGGCGAAAGCCUGAUCCAGCCAUGCCGCGUGUGUGAAGAAGGUCUUCGGAUUGUAAAGCACUUUAAGUUGGGAGGAAGGGCAGUACGUUAAUACCUUGCUGUUUUGACGUUACCAACAGAAUAAGCACCGGCUAACUUCGUG
RNAcentral lists this ribosomal RNA (484 nucleotides) under uncultured bacterium. RNAcentral's name for it is "partial 16S ribosomal RNA". It matches the Rfam family "Bacterial small subunit ribosomal RNA", at positions 30 to 507 of the family's 1533-position model. The record is from RNAcentral.